This 540-nucleotide ribosomal RNA is filed under the name uncultured bacterium. RNAcentral's name for it is "bacterial SSU rRNA". It matches the Rfam family "Bacterial small subunit ribosomal RNA", at positions 8 to 526 of the family's 1533-position model. The record is from RNAcentral.
AGAGUUUGAUCAUGGCUCAGAUUGAACGCUGGCGGCAGGCCUAACACAUGCAAGUCGAGCGGUAACACAGGGAGCUUGCUCCAACGAAAAGAGAAGAGUGGCGGACGGGUGAGUAACACGUGAGCAACCUGCCCAACAGAGGGGGAUAACACUUGGAAACAGGUGCUAAUACCGCAUAGGUCAUCAUUCCACAUGGAAAGAUGACAAAAGACGCUACGGUGUCGCUGUUGGAUGGGCCCGCGCUGCAUUAGUUAGUUGGUGAGGUAACGGCUCACCAAGACCAUGAUGCAUAGCCGACCUGAGAGGGUGAUCGGCCACACUGGGACUGAGACACGGCCCAGACUCCUACGGGAGGCAGCAGUAGGGAAUCUUCGGCAAUGGACGAAAGUCUGACCGAGCAACGCCGCGUGUAUGAAGAAGGCCUUCGGGUUGUAAAGUACUUUCAGCGAGGAGGAGGGCAUUAAGGUUAAUAACCUUAGUGAUUGACGUUACUCGCAGAAGAAGCACCGGCUAACUCCGUGCCAGCCGCCGCGGUAAUAC